GAUGAACGCUAGCGGCAGGCUUAACACAUGCAAGUCGAGGGGUAUGCCGAUUUAUCGGCAGAGACCGGCGCACGGGUGCGUAACGCGUAUGCAAUCUACCUUUCACAGAGGGAUAGCCCAGAGAAAUUUGGAUUAAUACCUCAUAGUAUAGCAAUUUCGCAUGAAACCACUAUUAAAGUUCCAACGGUGAAAGAUGAGCAUGCGUCCCAUUAGCUAGAUGGUAAGGUAACGGCUUACCAUGGCUACGAUGGUAGGGGUCCUGAGAGGGAGAUCCCCACACUGGUACUGAGACACGGACCAGAC
RNAcentral lists this ribosomal RNA (303 nucleotides) under uncultured bacterium. Its description in RNAcentral is "bacterial SSU rRNA". It matches the Rfam family "Bacterial small subunit ribosomal RNA", at positions 28 to 336 of the family's 1533-position model. The record is from RNAcentral.